This is a long non-coding RNA of Benincasa hispida (wax gourd), 2003 nucleotides long. RefSeq lists it as uncharacterized. NCBI's taxonomy places the organism in Eukaryota, Viridiplantae, Streptophyta, Magnoliopsida, Cucurbitales, Cucurbitaceae. The record is from RefSeq and is a predicted model, not a curated record.
GCAAAUCAUAUUAUGGGCGCACCAGAAAUUUUCCGAGUGUCUCUCCCACUCCAGUCGACUCCAUCUCCGGUCACUUACGAUCAUCCCUCCUUCCCAAAAUUUUCGUUCCUGCCUCAAAAACCAUAUCUCGUUUUUCAAAUUCAGUCAAUUUCAACCAAACCCAUGUGGGAACUUAUGGGCAAACUCCCUCAAAUUUCUUCCAUAGAAGGAAAACUCAAAGAAAAAUCAGAGCUGGUGGAGACUAAAGCUCUGCAAAGACCGUUGAUGAAAUGCUCGAGGCGCUUAAAGAUUGAUAAUCCUGUUAUGUGGAGAAGGGUCUUGAACUGGCAUCCGUAAGGAUUGGUCAGUUAGUAGACCGAGAAGGUGAGGAUCCUGAAAAAAAAAAAAAAAAUUCUGUUAUAUGCUUAUUUAGCUUUGAAUCUCUGUCAUGGCUCUGCAAUUAAUAGGUUCUGUUGACAAUUUAGGGAUUCUGAAUAUUGCUAAUAGGAUUUAGUGCUGAGGAUUCAUGUUGUGCAAUGUUAAGAAGUAGAGAUUGAGCUCUUUCUAAUGUUAGAAAGAAAGUGUUUAGAGAUCGAGUUAACCUUGAAGAAGGAUGGUGGAGAAUUGGGGAAACCAAUUUUUCAUAUAAGAGUGUCCUUCCUUUUUGUAUGAAGGCAUUGGAGAAAUAUGAGAUGGAAUUGGGACAUAAUUCAGUUGAAGUUGCCUAUGAUAGGAGGCUUUUGAGAGGUGGUUUAAUGUUGGUUUGGAAGAGCAUAAAAAUGCAUUGGAGCAGAGUGAAUUGUGUCAAAAGGCUUUUAAUUGAAGAAGUAGUUGUACUCUCAACUCGAGGAUGUUGUUUAUAAGUGUUGUGUUGAUCUAAUCAGGAAACAGACAUAGAUGGAAAGAGAUGAUUGUAAAAUUUUUGUCAAGAAGUAAUUUCUUCGGUGGUGGCAUUUGAGGCAUAUAUCAUUAUACCGAUUCAAAAUGAGCCAAUGAAUGAGUUUGAAAUUAUACUUUCUUUGUUAAAAAGAUUGGUAGCUAUGCUUGAUAAGCUUCUAGAAGAGCAACACUCAAAUGGUAGGGCUUCUGCUAGAAUAGGUUGGUUAAUGGUGACCAGUUAGGUUCAAUUAUCCAUUCCAUACUUGGAGAGUCCGACAUAUUUGGAGAUUGAGAGAGUCGGCUGCGCAGAUGUUUGCAAUAACAAAGGACUUUGUGGAGGUGUCAGUUGGUUCCAAUCAUGAAGAUUCAUUUGAAGCCUGCUAGAAUCUUUUCGAAAGCAUGUAGUGCAAUAGAAAGGAAAAAAAUUGUAGAGAAGUUUUGCUUUUCUAUCCAAUUUUCAUGAUGAAAACUUUGUUUGCACUCACCUGGGUUCAUUACGACAGGUUCGCAAUUGAGAGCGAUUCUUGAAUUCAUGAAUUUGAUUCCCUUUUCUUUUUUGCUGAUGUGGUAAUGUUCUUUGUAAUUGAAUUCCAAGAGCAAGUGAUUGAUGCUUGUAAAAGCCAUGGCUCAAGUGCAGAAGAUACGGUUAAAGAAUACUAACAGCCUCAAACAAUUGAAGAGGAAAGCAUGUUGUACGUCCAUAAUUAAGCUCUUGACAAAACCAUUCCUGCUACCUCAUGGGCCGACAUCUUCCAAAUUUUGCGGCUCAGUAUUCAGGGGCAGCCAGAAAUCUAGCCAAAACACAGUAAACCCAAUGAGCUAUUUUACUCUCCAGACAAGUGGUCGGAUCUGAUGACACUUCUGUGUAAGUUCUAUCCUUGAAAAGCUCUGAUAUUUGGGUUAAUGUUUCUUUAUAAUUUCGGUCGAAUCUUGUGUGCAUAGCUGGAAUAAGUUUGAAGUCUCACAACCCAUGUUUUGCAUUUAUGUCUGCUUAUCCUGAUAGGAAGAUAACAUAAUUACAGAGAGGUAUGUACUCUGGGGAAAGUAAAAUUUCUGUCAUUUUUUGUUUCAACUCAAAUAAUGAUAACUUUAUAGGUGUAUCUGUCACUUUGUUUCUUCAAAAUUAACUAUGUUCAUAGUGUAAA